This 1265-nucleotide ribosomal RNA is filed under the name uncultured bacterium. RNAcentral's name for it is "bacterial SSU rRNA". It matches the Rfam family "Bacterial small subunit ribosomal RNA", at positions 106 to 1395 of the family's 1533-position model. The record is from RNAcentral.
GUGAGUAACGCGUGAGGAACCUGCCUCAUAGAGGGGGACAACAGUUGGAAACGACUGCUAAUACCGCAUAAGCCCACAGCUCGGCAUCGAGCAGAGGGAAAAGGAGCAAUCCGCUUUGAGAUGGCCUCGCGUCCGAUUAGCUAGUUGGUGAGGUAACGGCCCACCAAGGCGACGAUCGGUAGCCGGACUGAGAGGUUGAACGGCCACAUUGGGACUGAGACACGGCCCAGACUCCUACGGGAGGCAGCAGUGGGGAAUAUUGCACAAUGGGGGAAACCCUGAUGCAGCGACGCCGCGUGGAGGAAGAAGGUCUUCGGAUUGUAAACUCCUGUUGUUGAGGAAGAUAAUGACGGUACUCAACAAGGAAGUGACGGCUAACUACGUGCCAGCAGCCGCGGUAAAACGUAGGUCACAAGCGUUGUCCGGAAUUACUGGGUGUAAAGGGAGCGCGGGCGGGAGAACAAGUUGGAAGUGAAAUCCAUGGGCUCAACCCAUGAACUGCUUUCAAAACUGUUUUUCUUGAGUAGUGCAGAGGUAGGCGGAAUUCCCGGUGUAGCGGUGGAAUGCGUAGAUAUCGGGAGGAACACCAGUGGCGAAGGCGGCCUACUGGGCACCAACUGACGCUGAGGCUCGAAAGUGUGGGUAGCAAACAGGAUUAGAUACCCUGGUAGUCCACACCGUAAACGAUGAUUACUAGGUGUUGGAGGAUUGACCCCUUCAGUGCCGCAGUUAACACAAUAAGUAAUCCACCUGGGGAGUACGACCGCAAGGUUGAAACUCAAAGGAAUUGACGGGGGCCCGCACAAGCAGUGGAGUAUGUGGUUUAAUUCGACGCAACGCGAAGAACCUUACCAAGUCUUGACAUCCUGCGACGCACAUAGAAAUAUGUGUUUCCUUCGGGACGCAGAGACAGGUGGUGCAUGGUUGUCGUCAGCUCGUGUCGUGAGAUGUUGGGUUAAGUCCCGCAACGAGCGCAACCCUUAUGGUCAGUUACUACGCAAGAGGACUCUGGCCAGACUGCCGUUGACAAAACGGAGGAAGGUGGGGAUGACGUCAAAUCAUCAUGCCCUUUAUGACUUGGGCUACACACGUACUACAAUGGCGUUAAACAAAGAGAAGCAAGACCGCGAGGUGGAGCAAAACUCAGAAACAACGUCCCAGUUCGGACUGCAGGCUGCAACUCGCCUGCACGAAGUCGGAAUUGCUAGUAAUCGUGGAUCAGCAUGCCACGGUGAAUACGUUCCCGGGCCUUGCACACACCGCCC